AAAAUGUCCAAUUUGUGAGCAGUAGUUUUAGGUGAAUAACGUAAUAAGUAGGUAUUUUAUUUGUUUUACGGUUCAGAUUAUCGUUGAACGAAACAUGGUAAAUUAUAAAAAUGUAAUAAGGAAUAAAUAAGGUCCGAAAUUGUUAUAAAAAAAUUAAUAUUGAAAAAGUUGGUAGCCACAAAUGUUACAAAAUGUUGAUAAUUUGUCAACCGGAAAUUAUGCCC
Non-coding RNA from Cinara cedri, 224 nucleotides. NCBI's taxonomy places the organism in Eukaryota, Metazoa, Arthropoda, Insecta, Hemiptera, Aphididae. The record is from the annotation of a GenBank genome assembly.